AGAACUGUAGUUAAUUUAUAAUAUUAAUCUGUCAGAUUAAAGUUUUUAGUUCUU
RNAcentral lists this transfer RNA (54 nucleotides) under Phyllocoptes taishanensis. RNAcentral describes it as "tRNA-Asp". The record is from RNAcentral. Lineage: Eukaryota; Metazoa; Arthropoda; Arachnida; Trombidiformes; Eriophyidae.